GGCUAUGCCCACAGACAUUAAGACCAUUCUCUAAAGUUGUACACAUUAAAGAGCGUGCCUCCACCUGUAGCUCCAUACUGCUUGUUGCUUAAAAUACAAUAACCACUUCUCCCAGAUGCACGACAUUCAAUCCUCCUGUAAAGAGACUGGUACCCAGGAGAAGGUAUUCUCCACAAAUUCCUUCAACCCUGAUCUCAAAUCCGCUACAUCAGAAGCCAAAAGAAGAAAAUUACCUUGAC
This is a non-coding RNA of Pelobates cultripes (western spadefoot toad), 239 nucleotides long. Lineage: Eukaryota; Metazoa; Chordata; Amphibia; Anura; Pelobatidae. The record is from the annotation of a GenBank genome assembly.